UCUCAUCUCAUUCAGUAAACCUAACCUAACCCACCUAUUAGCUUCUUCGACAGACAACUGUCUUCUCUCUCUCUCUUUUCCUCCAAAACCCUACCCAUCUACCGACAACGACGGCGAUUUUCUCCAUCGUCCGACCGACUAACAACGACUGAAAGACGAUCGGCGAUCUGUUCUUUUCUUUUUUUUAACUCCAUUUUCUGAGAAUCCCAGAUCCCUUUCUUCGACUGAAAGAGGAUCGCCGCUGAUCGUGGUGGUGGUGACUUACCACUAAUGAGAUCUGUUCUUUUUUAAAAGUAAAGAGGUGGUGAGAGUCAGAGUGUGAAGGUUCUACACACAGAAGGAGAAGAAGCUUACAGACAGACAGUUCGAAAACCAGAGAGAAGAAGCUUGCAGUAGUUCAAAAACCAGAGAGGUUUAGAUGGCUCAUGGUUUGGCUCAAGGAAAUGAAUGACUUCUUUUGUUUUUUUUUUUUGAAUGACUGUAAUAGUAUUGUUUGGAUGCACAAUUGCACAAUAUUUUGGAUGACUGUAACUUGUUUUUUUUGAGCUUUGGAUGAUUGUAA
This is a long non-coding RNA of Camellia sinensis, 562 nucleotides long. RefSeq lists it as uncharacterized. The record is from RefSeq and is a predicted model, not a curated record. Lineage: Eukaryota; Viridiplantae; Streptophyta; Magnoliopsida; Ericales; Theaceae.